Molecule: ribosomal RNA, 840 nt
Filed under: Coxiella endosymbiont of Amblyomma mixtum
Lineage: Bacteria; Pseudomonadati; Pseudomonadota; Gammaproteobacteria; Legionellales; Coxiellaceae
Description: bacterial SSU rRNA
Rfam family: Bacterial small subunit ribosomal RNA
Source: RNAcentral
CUUCUCUAAAAUUAAAUAGAGAAGAAAAGCGGGGGAUCUUCGGACCUCGCGCUAUGAGAUGAGCCUACGUCGGAUUAGUUAGUUGGUGGGGUAAUGGCCUACCAAGACGAUGAUCCGUAGCUGGUCUGAGAGGACGAUCAGCCACACUGGGACUGAGACACGGCCCAGACUCCUAUGGGAGGCAGCAGUGGGGAAUAUUGGACAAUGGGGGAAACCCUGAUCCAGCAAUGCCGCGUGUGUGAAGAAGGCCUUCGGGUUGUAAAGCACUUUCGGUAGGAAAGAAAGUCUUAAAGCUAAUAUCUUUAAGAGUUGACGUUACCUACAGAAGAAGCACUGGCUAACUCUGUGCCAGCAGCCGCGGUAAUACAGAGAGUGCAAGCGUUAAUCGGAAUUAUUGGGCGUAAAGCGCGCGUAGGUGGACAUUUAAGUCGGAUGUGAAAGCCCUAAGCUCAACUUGGGAAUUGCGUCCGAUACUGAAUGCCUUGAGUAUGGUAGAGGGAAGUGGAAUUUCCGGUGUAGCGGUGAAAUGCGUAGAUAUCGGAAGGAACACCAGUGGCGAAGGCGACUUCCUGGACCAAUACUGACACUGAGGUGCGAAAGCGUAGGGAGCAAACAGGAUUAGAGACCCUGGUAGUCCACGCUGUCAACGAUGAGAACUAGCUGUUGGAGAGUUUACUCUUUAGUAGCGAAGCUAACGCGUUAAGUUCUCCGCCUGGGGAGUACGGCCGCAAGGUUAAGACUCAAAGAAAUUGACGGGGGCCCGCACAAGCGGUGGAGCAUGUGGUUUAAUUCGAUGCAACACGAAAAACCUUACCUACCCUUGACAUCCUCGGAACUUGU